GGUUGAGUGGUCUAGCGGUUAUGAUUUCUGUCUAACACGGAUAGUUUGAACUCCGAUUCGAACUCCGCAUGUACACAGAAGGUUCUGAGUUCAAUUCUCAGCUCAAUCA
Sistotremastrum niveocremeum HHB9708 is the source of this 109-nucleotide non-coding RNA. The record is from the annotation of a GenBank genome assembly. Lineage: Eukaryota; Fungi; Basidiomycota; Agaricomycetes; Sistotremastrales; Sistotremastraceae.